This 335-nucleotide unclassified non-coding RNA is filed under the name soil metagenome. RNAcentral describes it as "partial contains 5.8S ribosomal RNA, internal transcribed spacer 2, and large subunit ribosomal RNA". The stretch from base 1 to 120 matches the Rfam family "5.8S ribosomal RNA", at positions 35 to 154 of the family's 154-position model. The record is from RNAcentral.
GAUGAAGAACGUAGCGAAAUGCGAUAAGUAGUGUGAAUUGCAGAAUUACCUGAAUCAUCGAAUCUUUGAACGCACAUUGCGCCCCCUGGUAUUCCUGGGGGCAUGCCUGUUCGAGCGUCAUUUCAACCAUCAAGCCCCCGGCUUGUGUUGGGGACCUGCGGCUGCCGCAGGCCCUGAAAACCAGUGGCGGGCUCGCUAGUCACUCCGAGCGUAGUAAUACAUCUCGCUCAGGGCGUGCUGCGGGUUCCGGCCGUUAAAAAGCCUUAUUUACCCAAGGUUGACCUCGGAUCAGGUAGGAAGACCCGCUGAACUUAAGCAUAUCAAUAAGCGGAGGA